AGUGAACGCUGGCGGUAGGCCUAACACAUGCAAGUCGAACGGCAGCACAGGAGAGCUUGCUCUCUGGGUGGCGAGUGGCGGACGGGUGAGGAAUACAUCGGAAUCUACUCUGUCGUGGGGGAUAACGUAGGGAAACUUACGCUAAUACCGCAUACGACCUACGGGUGAAAGCAGGGGACCUUCGGGCCUUGCGCGAUGGAAUGAGCCGAUGUCGGAUUAGCUAGUGGGCGGGGUAAAGGCCCACAAAGGCGACGAUCCGUAGCUGGUCUGAGAGGCUGAUCAGCCACACUGGAACUGAGACACGGUCCAGACUCCUACGGGAGGCAGCAGUGGGGAAUAUUGGACAAUGGGCGCAAGCCUGAUCCAGCCAUACCGCGUGGGUGAAGAAGGCCUUCGGGUUGUAAAGCCCUUUUGUUGGGAAAGAAAUCCAGCUGGCUAAUACCCGGUUGGGAUGACGGUACCCAAAGAAUAAGCACCGGCUAACUUCGUGCCAGCCGCCGCCGUAA
RNAcentral lists this ribosomal RNA (506 nucleotides) under uncultured bacterium. Its description in RNAcentral is "partial 16S ribosomal RNA". It matches the Rfam family "Bacterial small subunit ribosomal RNA", at positions 29 to 523 of the family's 1533-position model. The record is from RNAcentral.